RNAcentral lists this ribosomal RNA (301 nucleotides) under uncultured bacterium. Its description in RNAcentral is "partial 16S ribosomal RNA". It matches the Rfam family "Bacterial small subunit ribosomal RNA", at positions 509 to 809 of the family's 1533-position model. The record is from RNAcentral.
CAGCAGCCACGGUAAUACGUAGGUGGCGAGCGUUGUCCGGAAUUAUUGGGCGUAAAGGGAGCGCAGGCGGACAUAUAAGUCCAUCUUAAAAGUGCGGGGCUCAACCCCGUGAGGGGAUGGAAACUGUAUGCCUUGAGUGCAGGAGAGGAAAGCGGAAUUCCCAGUGUAGCGGUGAAAUGCGUAGAUAUUGGGAGGAGCACCAGUGGCGAAGGCGGCUUUCUGGACUGUAACUGACGCUGAGGCUCGAAAGCCAGGGGAGCGAACGGGAUUAGAUACCCGCGUAGUCCCUGUCUCUUAUACA